This 482-nucleotide ribosomal RNA is filed under the name uncultured Acidovorax sp. Its description in RNAcentral is "bacterial SSU rRNA". It matches the Rfam family "Bacterial small subunit ribosomal RNA", at positions 896 to 1382 of the family's 1533-position model. Lineage: Bacteria; Pseudomonadati; Pseudomonadota; Betaproteobacteria; Burkholderiales; Comamonadaceae. The record is from RNAcentral.
GAAACUUAAAGGAAUUGACGGGACCCGCGCAAGCGGUGGAUGAUGUGGUUAAUUCGAUGCAACGCGAAAACCUUACCACCUUUGACAUGUACGGAAUCCUUUAGAGAUAGAGGAGUGCUCGAAAGAGAGCCGUAACACAGGUGCUGCAUGGCUGUCGUCAGCUCGUGUCGUGAGAUGUUGGGUUAAGUCCCGCAACGAGCGCAACCCUUGUCAUUAGUUGCUACAUUCAGUUGGGCACUCUAAUGAGACUGCCGGUGACAAACCGGAGGAAGGUGGGGAUGACGUCAAGUCCUCAUGGCCCUUAUAGGUGGGGCUACACACGUCAUACAAUGGAUGGUACAAAGGGUCGCCAACCCGCGAGGGGGAGCCAAUCCCAUAAAGCCAUUCGUAGUCCGGAUCGCAGUCUGCAACUCGACUGCGUGAAGUCGGAAUCGCUAGUAAUCGUGGAUCAGAAUGUCACGGUGAAUACGUUCCCGGGUCUU